Molecule: ribosomal RNA, 253 nt
Filed under: uncultured bacterium
Lineage: Bacteria
Description: partial 16S ribosomal RNA
Rfam family: Bacterial small subunit ribosomal RNA
Source: RNAcentral
UACGGAGGGUGCAAACGUUGCUCGGAAUCAUUGGGCGUAAAGCGCACGUAGGCGGCCUGUUAAGUCGGAUGUGAAAGCCCUGGGCUCAACCCAGGAAGUGCAUACGAAACUGGCAGGCUUGAAUAUGGAAGAGGGUCGCGGAAUUCCCGGUGUAGAGGUGAAAUUCGUAGAUAUCGGGAGGAACACCAGUGGCGAAGGCGGCGACCUGGGCCAAUAUUGACGCUGAGGCGCGAAAGCGUGGGGAGCGAACAGG